Long non-coding RNA from Macaca mulatta (Rhesus monkey), 1016 nucleotides. Lineage: Eukaryota; Metazoa; Chordata; Mammalia; Primates; Cercopithecidae. The record is from Ensembl.
UCACAGACUGGAGGGUGACAGUGACCAGAGCAAGUUUAACCUUUUAAAGAGGAAGGAUCUGUUGCUUGGCUACCAGGCCUGCGUAGGGUAAUGAGUGGAAAUGGGGAACAGAAGUGGAGAAAGAAGAGAGACCUAGAAGCGGGGUGGUGGGGAAAGGGCAGGAACCCCUCGUGGGCUGGAGCCUGCAGAGGGAGGGAGAAUGUGAGCAGCUUCCAGAAGGUGUGGGGCUUUGAGGAAAGGGGACGGAGAGCAUCUGAAGGAAGCUUGGGUGUGAUCGGGCCACGGUCUCCAGAAGACUCAGGAAGGCUACUCAGAGAAGGGUCCCCCCAAGGGAUGUGGGACGGUUGGCCUAACCCUGUGGCAGACGGCUCUGCUUCUCUUCAUGGCCUAUGGAUUUGGAAAGCUCCUGAGUGCAAUGAGGAGUACCUCAUCUAGCAGCCAAGACCUAUUCCCUGCCCCAGUGCCCCAGUACCCCAGAAACAGGCCAAGCCCCAGACUCUCCUGGCAUAAAUACCGGCUCCCGUCCAACCUCACGCCAUCAGCGCUCCUGGCGCACAGUAGGCCUCAAUGGAUGUUUGUGAAUGAAUGCUGUCUGCCAUUCAAGCCCAGAUUUGACCCAUUCCAGAGACGGAAACUGAGGAAUUUCCAGCAAAGCCGGAUAAGGCAGAGCGGGAAGAUGCACCGAGGCUGGAGCCUGGGAUCUUCUCCUGGGGAUAACUCUGUAAUCUCUUGAGCCAGCCUGAGAUUUUCCAUUCUCCACACCUUCACCUUGAGAGCAACAGGCCUUCUCAUAAAGAACCUGGGGUGCUCAGGAGGGAGACUCUAUGGAGGCAAAGAACCUUCAGCCUGGUGGAGGGCAGUAAUUACAUUUCUCUGCUAACAAGCUCAUCCCGGAACAGCCUCCUCUACAGACUGGUCUUCUGGGAAUAGAGACCUGGCUGUUUUCUGUUUCUGCUGUCAUAGCCAGUUGCUGGCUGAAAGUGCAGGAGGUCCAGGAAGCUGCUGGCACACAGGAG